This is a small nucleolar RNA of Sphaeramia orbicularis (orbiculate cardinalfish), 129 nucleotides long. Ensembl annotates it as small nucleolar RNA SNORA13. The record is from Ensembl. NCBI's taxonomy places the organism in Eukaryota, Metazoa, Chordata, Actinopteri, Kurtiformes, Apogonidae.
UGCCUUUGUGUUGCCCAUUCACAGUACUCUUUGUGAACAGGGUGUCAUCUAAGGCAUACAGUAACUCUUGUAGAUGUGACAGAAAUGCCUUAUCAGUGAUGCUUUUCUACACAAUCUGCCAGCACACAC